Molecule: ribosomal RNA, 253 nt
Filed under: uncultured bacterium
Lineage: Bacteria
Description: partial 16S ribosomal RNA
Rfam family: Bacterial small subunit ribosomal RNA
Source: RNAcentral
UACAGAGGUCUCAAGCGUUGUUCGGAUUCAUUGGGCGUAAAGGGUGCGUAGGUGGCGCCAUAAGUCAGGUGUGAAAUCUCGGGGCUCAACCUCGAAACUGCACUUGAUACUGUGGUGCUGGAGUACUGGAGAGGAGAUUGGAAUUUACGGUGUAGCAGUGAAAUGCGUAGAUAUCGUAAGGAAGACCAGUGGCGAAGGCGAAUCUCUGGACAGUUACUGACACUGAGGCACGAAGGCCAGGGGAGCAAACGGG